ACAACCUAGUAUUCAAGUGGUGUUAGCAAGUGUCAACAAGCAUUUUUGGCGCCGUUGCCAGGGAAACGGUUGCUGAGUUGACUACGAACUAGCUUAAUCAUUUUCUAAAAAAUAAAAAAAUAUAUUUUCCUUUUAUCCUUUGCCUCAUCUCUGCUAUUCUUUCUUCUUAUCUAAUCGUUGAUCUCUGGUCUAUCAUGAAUACAAACAUGUCUAUCUAUCAGUUUAAUAGACCUAUGGGCACACAUCUCGAACCACCAAAAUCUUCAAAGCCUAUCGUGACAUCUAGUUUUGAGAUAAGCCCAGAAUACAUAGAAUUUCUUCAAAAACAACCUUUCUCAGGAGA
RNAcentral lists this long non-coding RNA (343 nucleotides) under Sorghum bicolor (sorghum). RNAcentral describes it as "long non-coding RNA (SBIC_LNC003253)". The record is from RNAcentral. Lineage: Eukaryota; Viridiplantae; Streptophyta; Magnoliopsida; Poales; Poaceae.